GACGAACGCUGGCGGCGCGCCUAACACAUGCGAGUCGAACGAGCGAGAGAGAGCUUGCUUUCUUGAGCGAGUGGCGAACGGGUGAGUAACGCGUGAGGAACCUGCCUCAAAGAGGGGGACAACAGUUGGAAACGACUGCUAAUACCGCAUAAGCCCACGGUGCCGCAUGGCACAGAGGGAAAAGGAGCAAUCCGCUUUGAGAUGGCCUCGCGUCCGAUUAGCUAGUUGGUGAGGUAACGGCCCACCAAGGCGACGAUCGGUAGCCGGACUGAGAGGUUGAACGGCCACAUUGGGACUGAGACACGGCCCAGACUCCUACGGGAGGCAGCAGUGGGGAAUAUUGCACAAUGGGGGAAACCCUGAUGCAGCGACGCCGCGUGGAGGAAGAAGGUCUUCGGAUUGUAAACUCCUGUUGUUGGGGAAGAUAAUGACGGUACCCAACAAGGAAGUGACGGCUAACUACGUG
Molecule: ribosomal RNA, 466 nt
Filed under: uncultured bacterium
Lineage: Bacteria
Description: partial 16S ribosomal RNA
Rfam family: Bacterial small subunit ribosomal RNA
Source: RNAcentral